GGAAAUGUAGCUCAGUGGGUAGAGCAGCUGACUCAUCAUCAGCCGGUCGAGGGUUCGACUCCCUCCUUUUCA
This 72-nucleotide transfer RNA is filed under the name Candidatus Competibacter phosphatis. RNAcentral's name for it is "tRNA-Met". It matches the Rfam family "tRNA". Rfam says of the family: Transfer RNA (tRNA) molecules are approximately 80 nucleotides in length. Their secondary structure includes four short double-helical elements and three loops (D, anti-codon, and T loops). The record is from RNAcentral. Lineage: Bacteria; Pseudomonadati; Pseudomonadota; Gammaproteobacteria; Candidatus Competibacteraceae.